Ahaetulla prasina is the source of this 1215-nucleotide long non-coding RNA. RefSeq lists it as uncharacterized. The transcript is spliced from 3 exons. The record is from RefSeq and is a predicted model, not a curated record. Lineage: Eukaryota; Metazoa; Chordata; Lepidosauria; Squamata; Colubridae.
UGUAUCAGCAUUAUGUCAACAUCUGGAUCAACAUAUGAAGAAGGAAAAAGGAAAGAGACUGAUUUUUUUUUAAUGUUUCAAUUUUUAAUUUUCUCCAUGAAGUAAGGCAUAUAAUAUCCAGACUACUUCAAAAGCCAAAACUGGAAAUGAGAGCUCAGAAGAUGGAAAUCAAAGAAUGCAUGCAGGGUGUCAUCGCUAACCAAAAAAAGAUGAGGCUAAGAAAGUAUGAAAACUAUUCAGGACUGGAAAAUAAUAAGGGACAAGUAAAGUGUUGCUUUGCAAAUUGCUGUUGGAUUACAACCACUAUAAUGAUUCUUUACUAUAUAAGCCACUAAGAGUUAUUGGUCUACACCAGGGCUUUUUAACGUUGAGAAUUUUAAGAAGUGUGGACUUCAACUCCCAGAAUUCCCUGGCCAGCCAUGUGUUUGAAGAACAAGUUUUAACCUACACAACUAUAUGGGUGGAAGAUGCCUAUAUGCAUCAUCCUAAGCCCUCUGAAGAGAUGAUUAAAAUCCAAAUGGCUAUCAUUUAAAUGGCAAUGACGAAACAACAAACUACAGGUGCUGGAUUCUUCUUAAAUGAUUUCCUAUAUUUAAGAAAUGACUGCAAAUGGAAAAAAAAACCCACAGAAGAAAAUAGACUCAGCUAUAACUUUUCUUCUUGAUGAGUUAGUCCUUUAUUUGAAAAAAGGGGACUAGUAGUUAUGAAAAAUGUCUUAAAAUUGAAAGAAGGAAAGGAAGGAAAGGAAGGAAAAGGAAGGAAGGAAGGAAGAAAAAGAAAGAAAGAAAAAGAAAAGAGUCUACUUUCUAAUCAUCUUUUCUGCAACCUGCAUCAAAUGGAAAUAAUACCCAUCUCUUGUGACUGGUGCUUACCAAUUAAUCCCAGAAUUCUGAUCAAGGGCUAUGCUGGCUGUGGAAUGCUGGGAAUUAAAAUUCCAACACCUGGAAAUUGCCUAUUUGGGAAACUGUGUCUUUUAUCUUUAUCUUUAUGUCUUUAUCACUGCACCUGUUACUUAUUUCUAGAUGAAUGAGUAAUUUGCCAAUUCAUUCUGUUUCCUUAUCUUAUUUUCUUGCCGCCUGUUCAUUCUCCAUAUUUGUCAGUCCUUUUAUCUCACAAAGCAAAGCCAUAUUCCAGAAAAGGUGGCACUUGCUAAGAACUUCUUGAAUCUCCAUGAAGAAGAAAGGUGGCUUGUAUAUGUAAAAAAUCACAAUUUUG